Sebastes umbrosus (honeycomb rockfish) is the source of this 928-nucleotide non-coding RNA. The record is from the annotation of a RefSeq genome assembly. Lineage: Eukaryota; Metazoa; Chordata; Actinopteri; Perciformes; Sebastidae.
GUCAAUCACAAGUGCUGCUGUGAAGAGAACAAUUGUCAGACUGAAUGUUGAACAUCAGCUAGUUUCUCCUGUUGAUUUAAACCUUGUUGUAGAGAUGGAACAUUGGCUGUGGAUUAUUCUUGCUGCUCUUUUCUUUGAGUGUAAAGGAGAAGACAGAGUAAUGCAGGCAACAGGAGAUGUCAUCGCUACUGAAGGACACACACUCACACUGGACUGUACAUUUGAGACAAGUGACCCAAGUCCCACUUUGUUCUGGUACAAACAGGAAGUUCAGGAUUAUCCAAAGUUUCUGCUGCAACGGUUCACUGUAAAGACGGAUAAUUCUGAAGAGCAACAGAGAAUUGAUGCUACAGCCGACAAGACAUCAGUUCCUCUGAAGAUCUAGAAGCUUCAGCUGUCAGACUCUGCUGUGUACUACUGUGCUCUGCAGCCCACAGUGACAGGAAACACCUAAACUCUGUACAAAAACCUGACAGCUCCUCAUUGAACAUUUACACACUUCAGCUCCUCCUUUACCUGAACAACACCUCCAUCUAGUGGACACUGACAUGUCCAACAGUCCAGAUGUAAAACAGGCUUUGGCACAAUCUACAACUCUUAACAUCUUUCCAGAUGGACUUCUAAGAUGAGAAAUAACUCGUUUUUCAUGUCGUAACCUCUUUGACCCUGCUGUCCUUCCAUCGGGUCCACAAUGUUAUUUUACUGGGUUACUGGUACUGACUUAUAGAACUGUGAAGAAAACAACUCAUGGUGUAGUAAUAGCGUUAGAUUCAGACCAUCUGUCCACUGUUCUCCUCACACCACCACUUACUUCUUGCUAAUAAAUGCACACUAUUUCUCCUCCUUCUUGCAUGUUUCUGGUCCAUUAGACGAUAAAACCUUCUUUGAAUAUAUGUAAUUUAUAUCAGUUUAGACUGUGAUAUAGUAA